AUGAGGCCACCACAGCGACCUGCCACAUAUCCAUCUUCAGAGAUGUACUGCUGCAUCGGCCUUGCCCGGUCUCGCUGCCGCCGACGCCAUCACGACGCCAGACAGCGUCGACCUCCUGCGCGUGUCCGUCAUCACACAUCUGACACCAAGCCUCCGCUGCUCCAUGCCGCCAAGAGCCGCCGCCAAGAAUAUGUAGAACGAUACACCGCUCCACCGAAAGGGAGGCAGCACACCCCCACCCCUCACCUGCAGACCCUCCCAUCCGAUCCCAAUGUCCUUGGCGCCGCCUCCAGGAAGGUUACGGUGCACGGGGCGCCGCCGACGCCCGAUCCGCAUUGGAUCUUGGGCUAUCGCCUGGACAUGGGUCGGAGUGGAGAGAUGGUGUCCUCAGCAGCGGCCCCAAGGAGGAAAGUGGCGCCAAAAGGCGGCGUCGCCGCUGCCGGCCAGCCAAGGCGCCCAAGGUUUCCCUCAGACACCGAUCUGCUCCACCAGAACACACCGGAGGUGGAUCAGGCAAGAUCCAAAGCCAAACCGGGGACUGGGAAGGGAUGCAUGGAAGGGAGGGGGUAA
This 570-nucleotide ribosomal RNA is filed under the name Triticum aestivum (bread wheat). RNAcentral's name for it is "partial small subunit ribosomal RNA". The record is from RNAcentral. Lineage: Eukaryota; Viridiplantae; Streptophyta; Magnoliopsida; Poales; Poaceae.